RNAcentral lists this non-coding RNA (249 nucleotides) under Paucilactobacillus oligofermentans. Its description in RNAcentral is "Lactobacillus oligofermentans T-box sequence". It matches the Rfam family "T-box leader". Rfam says of the family: Uncharged tRNA acts as the effector for transcription antitermination of genes in the T-box leader family. T-boxes are found upstream of many aminoacyl-tRNA synthetase genes and some amino acid biosynthetic genes usually in Gram-positive bacteria. The record is from RNAcentral. Lineage: Bacteria; Bacillati; Bacillota; Bacilli; Lactobacillales; Lactobacillaceae.
AUGACUACAAGAUGAGUAAAGAAAUUUAAUUUUUUUAGAGAGCACAUGGCUGGUGAAAAUGUGUAAAGUUGAUUUCUUGAAUAUGGUCUUGGUUGUGUGCAUUAGUGAGGCUUUGGCUUAACUGAUGUCGGGGUGGCUACCGUUAUUAUUUGCCAAGUCCUAGUGCAUCCGGAGGCACUGUGACUUACAAAGCUAUUUUUCGUGAGGAAAAUAGAAAUUAAGGUGGUAACGCGAAAAAUCGUCCUUGAA